GGCUGGUCUGAUGGUAGUGGGUUACCCAAGCUUAUUAACAUUAGUGUCACUAAAGUUGGUAUACAAUCCCCCACUGCUAAAUUUGACUGGCUUUAA
This is a Y RNA of Callithrix jacchus (white-tufted-ear marmoset), 96 nucleotides long. It matches the Rfam family "Y RNA". From Rfam's summary of the family: Y RNAs are components of the Ro ribonucleoprotein particle (Ro RNP), in association with Ro60 and La proteins. The Y RNAs and Ro60 and La proteins are well conserved, but the function of the Ro RNP is not known. In humans the RNA component can be one of four small RNAs -- hY1, hY3, hY4 and hY5. The record is from Ensembl. Lineage: Eukaryota; Metazoa; Chordata; Mammalia; Primates; Cebidae.